This 636-nucleotide ribosomal RNA is filed under the name Triticum aestivum (bread wheat). RNAcentral's name for it is "partial small subunit ribosomal RNA". Lineage: Eukaryota; Viridiplantae; Streptophyta; Magnoliopsida; Poales; Poaceae. The record is from RNAcentral.
AUGGCUGCAGAUCCACUAAAGCUCCUCCCACUGCCGACACCCAACCCCACCCAACCGGCGACCGUCUCCCCCAACCCCAUCACCACCGUGACCUCCCUCCCUCACUCCCUAGCUCUCCCUCCCUUAGGUCCGUCCGACCCAUGGGCGGAUGAGGGCCGAAGCCCUAGCCCUUCACCCACCCACCAAUGGAUGGAUGGGGACGGGGCAAUGAUGGCGCGGUGGCGGAGACCUCCAUGGCGAACGCGGGCCGGCAGCCGGCCAUCUCCGCCAAGCCCGACCUGCUGGCGGCUCUGCUCACGGGUCGGGCCCCGCCGGCGGAGGAAGGAGAGCACAGCCGCCGCUUGUACAUCGGACGAUCCCGUCUACGAGUUCAUCACCUCCGACACCGUCUACAGCCCGCAGGUGUCGUGCUGGCGACCGGGACCGGUUCGGAGCGCUCGGAUCGAAGGUGGCCGAGCACUGAUAACUUUUGUGGGGGACCGGACGGUGGUGCAGAUGUACAAGUUCCUCAAGAAGCACGCUGCCGUCCCUUUCAACUCUGAUGCAGCCGCGGCUGGCUGUGCUUCUGCCUCGGCCGGCUGUGCUUCUGCCUCGGCUACAAACUGCCUAGGGGCCAGAGAGUUAGCCCAGUCCUGA